GGGGAUUUGAAGCAGAAGAACUCUCGGAACUGCCGGGAGCAGAAGAGCCAGAGGACAUUUUGAGUAGUUUCGAAGAGAGGAUCUAAAGGAUCCUAAAAAGACAGACCGAAAGGGGAAUGAGUGGCCGGAGGCUAACUCGGAGGGACGCACAAAAGUGAUGAUGAGAGGAGAAGCCCCUAGGCGUUGAGAGGAAGGUUGGCACUAACCUAUGUUACUCUGAGGGACCUGGGGGACGAGAAACGGGAGGCGCCUACGGCUCGAGAAGACGCUCACUAAAGCAGGGCUCUCGAAGAGAAGACAGACACCAGCGAAAACUCAGGAAUGGAGUAGGACGCCUGAAGGGGGGAGGAUGGGUUUAAAUAGACCCUGGGAUCCGGCGCCAUAAUGAUCGCGAAUCCCCCAGGCCAGUUCGCGUUCGACACGUGUCCCACUCCCCCUGACAGAUGGCUAAAAGCGGCUGACGAUUGGCAGGAUCAUAAUUGCGCCGUACCUAGGCCAGAGUACCUGCGGGAUUUUUGAAGCGUCCCCUCAUACCGCUCCAAUUCGAAAAGACUCCGGCACGCUCACAUUUAAUGCCAAAAUAUCCGGAGGCGAUAGUGCGCAGGAUUCGAAGGGACGGUUUCGGCUGUGUCCAUCUCUCUCUCUGUACUUCCUUCGUUUGAAAGUCAAACUCGGAAGUAGGGGGACUGGUGUUGGGUAUAAAAUACCCACAGCCGAAAUCCUCAGCGGGAUCGACUACG
Molecule: long non-coding RNA, 740 nt
Filed under: Elaeis guineensis (African oil palm)
Lineage: Eukaryota; Viridiplantae; Streptophyta; Magnoliopsida; Arecales; Arecaceae
Description: long non-coding RNA (EGUI_LNC068964)
Source: RNAcentral